CUACGUAGGGGGCGAGCGUUGUCCGGAAUGAUUGGGCGUAAAGGGCGCGUAGGCGGCGCGGUAAGUCUGGAGUGAAAGUCCUGCUUUCAAGCGGGGAAUUGCUUUGGAUACUGCCUCGCUUGAGUGCAGGAGAGGUGAUCGGAAUUCCCGGUGUAGCGGUGAAAUGCGUAGAGAUCGGGAGGAACACCAGUGGCGAAGGCGGGUAACUGGACUGCAACUGACGCUGAGGCGCGAAAGUGUGGGGAGCAAACAGGAUUAGAUACCCUGGUAGUCCACACUGUAAACGAUGAAUGCUAGGUGUAAGAGGUAUCGACCCCUUUUGUGCCGGAGUCAACACAAUAAGCACUCCGCCUGGGGAGUACGGCCGCAAGGUUGAAACUUAAAGGAAUUGACGGGG
RNAcentral lists this ribosomal RNA (397 nucleotides) under uncultured bacterium. RNAcentral describes it as "partial 16S ribosomal RNA". It matches the Rfam family "Bacterial small subunit ribosomal RNA", at positions 523 to 918 of the family's 1533-position model. The record is from RNAcentral.